This is a long non-coding RNA of Chlorocebus sabaeus (green monkey), 1017 nucleotides long. RefSeq lists it as uncharacterized. NCBI's taxonomy places the organism in Eukaryota, Metazoa, Chordata, Mammalia, Primates, Cercopithecidae. The record is from RefSeq and is a predicted model, not a curated record.
CUUUGGGGCCGGCCUUGCUAGCCUACCAGCUUCCUUUCGGUGAUGCUCUUUGCUACCGCCAGGCUCCUGACCCCGGUUUGGACAGCAGGCCGCCGAGCGCCCCAGGCGCCGGUUACAAAGGUGGCUGCGCAGAGGUGCGGCUCUGAGGCUGUGAUCUCUCCUAGAACGUUAGAGGCAUGAAGCUAGAAUAUCUUCCCCCUCAAGGAGAGUAAGCCAAGGGUAUAUGAGACAAGGACCCGGGGAGUUGGCCUCUUUGGUUCAUUCUUUGCACUGUUUAUGUAAGUACUAAACUGUCUCAAUCUAAAAGUGUUUCCUUGUAUCUUUACCAGUCAAAUCAGUCAGGCCUUGGCCUUGUCUAUAUUAGCUUGUUACCAUAUAAUCCUAAUUGCUGUCUUAUGUCUUUUACCUGUAAACUAAAAUAAUUAGGAUACUUGUGUUCAUUCAAAGGUUCUUACAUUAAAUAAAUACUGAAGGAAUACAAUGUUUUUAACUCAUUUGUAUUUGGGAAGCCUUAAGCCUUCAGUGAAUUAUCAAAUGCAGCUGUGGUGCCAAUUUAGCACCUAAGGGUGCUAAAGCACACAGUACUUUAUGAAGCUAAGAAGUCAGGAAUAUACUGGUACUGGAAAAUCCUGAAAAAUAAAGGCAUGGUUUAUAGAUGAAAUAUUCUUUCCAAUAAAGGGAAACUUAAAAAAAAGAGAAACUUGAUCAGAGAUGACAGUCUUAUGGUAUCUGAUUUUUCAUAUUUUCAGGUAAACAAAUACCUGGCAAAAUAACAGCUAUGUAUCUUUCACAAGUAGAAGGUGUGACAACCAUUUAUAUAAUAAACAUGUUAGGAACAUCUGUGGGAUGCCAUAUUCCAGGCUCUGUGCCUGACUCAGGACACAGACACAACCCAGUCUGGGUCUCAGAGCCAGUGGACCUCAGAAUUAAGAAGACAGAGAUAUUCAGGCUAAUAAGUAUAAUUUUGAUAAGAACUAUGACAACACAGGGCUGGGCAUGGUAGCUCAUACCUGUAAU